Long non-coding RNA from Oncorhynchus tshawytscha (Chinook salmon), 407 nucleotides. The record is from Ensembl. Lineage: Eukaryota; Metazoa; Chordata; Actinopteri; Salmoniformes; Salmonidae.
GUCAUCCCUAUGGAAAAAAUGAAUGGGGAAAGAAUAGGGUUUUGGAAUAAACGCCGAAAAUAAGUGUGUUAGCAUCCAAGGGAGAAAACGUGUUACUUCCGCUUGUCAUCCUCCCUCGUCCGCUGUCAGGCGUGAGGAGACAGUGAUGCAAUGCGUCCCGCUCCCUGUCCCAGAAGCCCUGUCACCUGAAGGAAGUGGCAUUAACCACCCUGGACAGCCAGCCACCACUGCACCAGGGCUGCUGUUGUGGAAUCGUGAUGAAACCAUAUGGAGACUGGGCGGCGUAAAUGACUUCUUAGGAGUGCAGCGAGAUGUGAAGGACGGACUGACAGGAGACGGGAGCGCGGCGAGCACACUAAUGAGCUACAUGCUUCACACCGAGACACGGGGGGGAGAGAGAACGAGAG